UACGGAGGGCGCAAGCGUUAAUCGGAAUUACUGGGCGUAAAGCGCGCGCAGGCGGUUAGGUAAGUCAGAGGUGAAAUCCCCGGGCUCAACCUGGGAACUGCCUUUGUGACUGCAGAGCUGGAGUGCGGGAGAGGGGGAUGGAAUUCCGCGUGUAGCGGUGAAAUGCGUAGAUAUGCGGAGGAACACCGGUGGCGAAGGCAAUCCCCUGGGCCUGCACUGACGCUCAUGCACGAAAGCGUGGGGAGCAAACAGG
RNAcentral lists this ribosomal RNA (253 nucleotides) under uncultured bacterium. RNAcentral describes it as "partial 16S ribosomal RNA". It matches the Rfam family "Bacterial small subunit ribosomal RNA", at positions 524 to 776 of the family's 1533-position model. The record is from RNAcentral.